RNAcentral lists this ribosomal RNA (407 nucleotides) under uncultured bacterium. Its description in RNAcentral is "partial 16S ribosomal RNA". It matches the Rfam family "Bacterial small subunit ribosomal RNA", at positions 30 to 526 of the family's 1533-position model. The record is from RNAcentral.
AUUGAACGCUGGCGGCAGGCCUAACACAUGCAAGUCGAGCGGAGCGGCGGACGGGUGAGUAAUGUCUGGGAAUCUGCCUGGUAGUGUGGGAUAACGUCCGGUAACGGGCGCUAAUACCGCAUACUACCAGAUGAGCCUAGGUCGGCUUAGCUAGUUGGUGGGGUAAAGGCCUACCAAGGCGACGCUCCGUAACUGGUCUGGGAGGAUGAUAAGUCACACUGGAACUGAGACACGGUCCAGACUCCUACGGGAGGCAGCAGUGGGGAAUAUUGGACAAUGGGCGAAAGCCUGAUCCAGCCAUGCCGCGUGUGUGAAGAAGGUCUUCGGAUUGUAAAGCACUUUAAGUUGGGAGGCGUUACCAACAGAAUAAGCACCGGCUAACUCCGUGCCAGCAGCCGCGGUAAUUC